CUUGCUCUUUGGCGUCGAGUGGCGGACGGGUGAGUAACGCGUGGGAAUCUACCCAGUAGUGGGGGAUAGCCCAGAGAAAUUUGGAUUAAUACCGCAUACGAUCUACGGAUGAAAGGUGGCCUCUCCUUGGAAGCUAUCGCUAUUGGAUGAGCCCGCGUUAGAUUAGCUAGUUGGUGGGGUAAGAGCCUACCAAGGCAACGAUCUAUAGCUGGUCUGAGAGGACGACCAGCCACAUCGGGACUGAGACACGGCCCGGACUCCUACGGGAGGCAGCAGUGGGGAAUAUUGGACAAUGGGCGCAAGCCUGAUCCAGCAAUGCCGCGUGUGUGAAGAAGGCCCGAGGGUUGUAAAGCACUUUCAAUUGUGAAGAAGAGAUUAAGAUUAAUACUCUUGAUCUUUGACGUUAACUUUAGAAGAAGCACCGGCUAACUCUGUGCCAGCAGCCGCGGUAAUACAGAGGGUGCGAGCGUUAAUCGGAAUUACUGGGCG
RNAcentral lists this ribosomal RNA (489 nucleotides) under uncultured bacterium. Its description in RNAcentral is "bacterial SSU rRNA". It matches the Rfam family "Bacterial small subunit ribosomal RNA", at positions 73 to 560 of the family's 1533-position model. The record is from RNAcentral.